This 254-nucleotide ribosomal RNA is filed under the name uncultured bacterium. RNAcentral's name for it is "partial 16S ribosomal RNA". It matches the Rfam family "Bacterial small subunit ribosomal RNA", at positions 524 to 776 of the family's 1533-position model. The record is from RNAcentral.
UACGUAGGGGCCUAGCGUUGUCCGGAAUUAUUGGGCGUAAAGAGCUCGUAGGUGGUUCGGCAAGUCGGAUGUGAAAUCUCCACGCUUAACGUGGAGGGGCCAUUCGAAACUGCUGUGACUUGAGUCCGGUAGGGGAGUGUGGAAUUCCCGGUGUAGCGGUGAAAUGCGCAGAUAUCGGGAGGAACACCAGUAGCGAAGGCGGCACUCUGGGCCGGUACUGACGCUGAGACGCGAAAGCGUGGGGAGCGAACAGG